CUGUGAUGAUACCGAUGACGAGUCUUAUCCGAGUUUUCGAUGCAGACACCAUCUUUUUUUAUACCAUUCAUGCCAAUCUGACU
This 83-nucleotide small nucleolar RNA is filed under the name Drechmeria coniospora. The record is from RNAcentral. Lineage: Eukaryota; Fungi; Ascomycota; Sordariomycetes; Hypocreales; Ophiocordycipitaceae.